UCUUUUACUAAUUGAUGAAAUUGUUUGAUCUUAAAAGGAUGAGAAAUAGCUUAAAACCCCUCUAUUUAUAUUCGAAAUUUUAAUUAUACACUUUAAUUAUAUGAGAGUUUUAUCACCCUUCUCAACAUUUUUUUUCAAUCUAUUUCUAACACUCUUAAAUGUUAACUUAUCCACAUAAAUCAAAUAUAAUGAGUAGCGUGUAUAUAUGCACGGAUCCCACUUAAAUAUUAUGGACAUUAGACCCACUAUUUUCUCUUGUUCUUUCACUCGAUCAUUUCUCUUUCUUCUAUUCCCUCAUAAACUUCUUGAAGACCCACUCUUUUUUCUUUUUCCUUGAUUGAUUACGCAUUUUUCAAGCAUUCUUGUGUGUUUUCAGCUUAAUUUCAGUAAAAGUUAUCUGCUUAAUUUCAAUAAAGGAUGGAAACAAUCAGAUGCUGCCACUUGCUUGGGCAGUAGUUGAAAAGGAGAACAAAAACUCAUGAACUAUGUUUGUCAAGUGCAUAAGGGAUAACCUAGAACUGGGAGAUGGUGAAGGUCUCACCUUGAUUAUAGAUAUGCAAAAGGUAUGUGAAUUAUUUUAUGUUGUUAUUUUUACGUAAUUGUAAACUAUAUGAAGGAACUGUAAUUGUGACCUAUCUACAAAGACUGUAAUUAUGACCUAUUUGCAAGGACUUUAAUUUUUACUUUCUAUUUGUAAUUGUGACCUAUCUCCAGGGACUUUAAUUUUCACUUUUUAUAUGUAAUAAUGACUUAUCUGCAGGGACUAUAUACAGCAAUUGAAGAGGUAUUACCUUAUUGUGAACAUAGAAAAUGUGCUGGCACAUAUUAGCUAAUUGGGCUAAGGAUCGAAUGGGUCUUCAGAGAAGACAAUAAUUUUGAAAGAUAGCCAAGAGUACAUUUGAGUCUCAAUUAAGGAAAAAUAUGGAGAAGAUGAAGUUGUUAGGUCCAAAAACAAUGAUGGAUGACUUGAUGUAUUAUAACAUUAAUUACUGGUGCAAAGUUUACUUCAACACUAAAGUAAAGUGUGAUUCUGUAGACAACAACAUGUUUGAGUGUUUUAAUACAUGAAUCUUGGCAGCUAGGCACAAGACCAUAAUUACUCUGCUUGAAGAAAUAAGAGUGAAGAUGAUGAAAAGAAUAGCCAAUUUAAGGGAGUUUUCAAGUUCUUGAAAAUAUAGUUUCUCUCCAAUGGCUUUAAAGGAUUUAGAGGAGAACAUUACUAGGUAUAUGAACUGUACCAUUGAUUUUAAUGAAGUUGAUGGAUUAUAAGUGAAAGAAGGGCUUUGUCAACACAAAAUGGUUAUUGCCAAGAGGACUUGUAGUUGUAGGGUAUGGCAGUUAAAGGGCAUAUCAUGUGCACAUGUUGUGGCUGCAUUAUACUUUAGGAAGUUUUCUCUUUAUGACUAUAUAGAUAACUGUUAUAGUAAGGAAACUUACUUGAGGACUUAUGCCAAUGUUCUUGAACCACUCACAAAUAUGAAGAUGUGGCCAGUUUCUACAAAUCCUAUUAUUUCACCAUCAAAAAUCACAAACAUGCCUGGUAGGCCAUCUAAGGCUAGAAUGAAAGAAGUUGGAGAAACUAAGAAAUCUGAAAAGUUAUCUAGGAAUAGAUUUGCAAUGACAUGUAGUAUGUGCCAUGCUAGAGGACAUAAGAAUAGAGGGUGUCCUAGCACACCAUCACCAAUACCUAGUGCAUCAGUAAGGGUAGAAUCAACAGGUUUAGACAGGGAAGAGGCAGGCCAAAGAUAAUAUUUGAACUUGUUUUAAACAUUUACUAACUAUUAUUUUUAGUUUAUAACUUUUUUUUUAUUGUAUGUAUAAAAAACUCCAUCAGCACCGUUAGAAGGUGAGUCUCCACUAAAAAGAGGGAGACCAAAAAAGACAUCAUCAGUAUCACCUCAUCUACCUACUGCACCUAUUGAUUUUUCUGCAUUCUGUGCUGCUCCUUCUAGUUAUCAUGCAUCAUCUUCAGUAGCUAGUACUACUAAAAGAGGAAUAGGUAGGGGCAGAAAAAAUAUAGCUCCAGACAAAAGGCAAAGAGUCAUGGUAAUGAGUGUGUUUCAAGCUGCAAAUGGAUUCAAAGUCAUGAAUUCUGGCAUGCCAAAUAGUAAGAUCUACUCGACUAGUCGAGCAAAAAUGAGAAGCCCAACUAAUGUAGCUGGUGACAUUAGUUAUACACCAAGUACUACAAGUAAGCUGAAAUGGAAUGGCAAAACAGAAAUCACCACCAGAAAACUUCAAGAGCUUAGAGAAAAACAAAGAAAGAAAAUAGUGGAAAGUAGUUCAAAUAAUCCAAGUCAAAAUAGCACUUCUUCACAGUCAAACAUGCCAUGAAAAUUAUAGUAAUUUUGAUGUAUUUAAUCACUUUUUAAGUUAGUCCACUAGACAUGGUAACUAUUUCUUAUUUUGUUUUUUAGAAUGGCAAUGUUGAAGUAAUUA
This is a long non-coding RNA of Solanum dulcamara, 2439 nucleotides long. RefSeq lists it as uncharacterized. The transcript is spliced from 3 exons. The record is from RefSeq and is a predicted model, not a curated record. NCBI's taxonomy places the organism in Eukaryota, Viridiplantae, Streptophyta, Magnoliopsida, Solanales, Solanaceae.